This 273-nucleotide ribosomal RNA is filed under the name uncultured bacterium. RNAcentral's name for it is "partial 16S ribosomal RNA". It matches the Rfam family "Bacterial small subunit ribosomal RNA", at positions 524 to 796 of the family's 1533-position model. The record is from RNAcentral.
UACGAAGGGGGCUAGCGUUGUUCGGAAUUACUGGGCGUAAAGCGCACGUAGGCGGACAUUUAAGUCAGGGGUGAAAUCCCAGAGCUCAACUCUGGAACUGCCUUUGAUACUGGGUGUCUUGAGUGUGGAAGAGGUCAGUGGAAUUGCGAGUGUAGAGGUGAAAUUCGUAGAUAUUCGCAGGAACACCAGUGGCGAAGGCGGCUGACUGGUCCACAACUGACGCUGAGGUGCGAAAGCGUGGGGAGCAAACAGGAUUAGAUACCCCCGUAGUCC